UAGGGAAUCUUCGGCAAUGGACGAAAGUCUGACCGAGCAACGCCGCGUGAGUGAAGAAGGUUUUCGGAUCGUAAAACUCUGUUGUUAGAGAAGAACAAGGACGUUAGUAACUGAACGUCCCCUAACGGUAUCUAACCAGAAAGCCACGGCUAACUACGUGCCAGCAGCCGCGGUAAUACGUUGGUGGCAAGCGUUGUCCGGAUUUAUUGGGCGUAAAGCGAGCGCAGGCGGUUUCUUAAGUCUGAUGUGAAAGCCCCCGGCUCAACCGGGGAGGGUCAUUGGAAACUGGGAGACUUGAGUGCAGAAGAGGAGAGUGGAAUUCCAUGUGUAGCGGUGAAAUGCGUAGAUAUAUGGAGGAACACCAGUGGCGAAGGCGGCUCUCUGGUCUGUAACUGACGCUGAGGCUCGAAAGCGUGGGGAGCAAACAGG
Molecule: ribosomal RNA, 429 nt
Filed under: Chloroflexota bacterium
Lineage: Bacteria; Bacillati; Chloroflexota
Description: Chloroflexi bacterium partial 16S ribosomal RNA
Rfam family: Bacterial small subunit ribosomal RNA
Source: RNAcentral